Molecule: small RNA, 155 nt
Filed under: Tersicoccus phoenicis
Lineage: Bacteria; Bacillati; Actinomycetota; Actinomycetes; Micrococcales; Micrococcaceae
Description: c-di-AMP sequence
Rfam family: c-di-AMP riboswitch aptamer (ydaO/yuaA leader)
About the family: This family represents a conserved RNA structure found upstream of the ydaO and yuaA genes in Bacillus subtilis and related genes in other bacteria. The ydaO/yuaA element is thought to act as a genetic "off" switch for the ydaO and yuaA genes in its native state.
Source: RNAcentral
CACCGGAACCGGUCCGUUCACUUCAUUUCACUGGCAGGGACGGGGGAACCAAUUCCGGUCUCCUUCGAGGCCUUGGGGUCAAGCAUCCGAUCGCGGAUGCCGGGUGCUCCCACCCGAACCCGACAGCUCACCCCGUAGACAAAGGGAGAGGUAGA